AGGAUCCGUGUGCGUUAAUUGCGCCCGCACGGAUCUGUGAGGGGGCGGAACACAAUCCCAAAGGAAAGGUUCCCUCCUACUCGAC
RNAcentral lists this unclassified non-coding RNA (85 nucleotides) under Virgibacillus pantothenticus. The record is from RNAcentral. Lineage: Bacteria; Bacillati; Bacillota; Bacilli; Caryophanales; Bacillaceae.